CACUUUUGGCAGGAAAGAAACGUCAUGGGUUAAUACCCCGUGAAACUGACGGUACCUGCAGAAUAAGCACCGGCUAACUACGUGCCAGCAGCCGCGGUAAUACGUAGGGUGCAAGCGUUAAUCGGAAUUACUGGGCGUAAAGCGUGCGCAGGCGGUUCGGAAAGAAAGAUGUGAAAUCCCAGAGCUUAACUUUGGAACUGCAUUUUUAACUACCGAGCUAGAGUGUGUCAGAGGGAGGUGGAAUUCCGCGUGUAGCAGUGAAAUGCGUAGAUAUGCGGAGGAACACCGAUGGCGAAGGCAGCCUCCUGGGAUAACAC
RNAcentral lists this ribosomal RNA (317 nucleotides) under Achromobacter sp. 110518_136_C_F7. Its description in RNAcentral is "bacterial SSU rRNA". It matches the Rfam family "Bacterial small subunit ribosomal RNA", at positions 431 to 740 of the family's 1533-position model. Lineage: Bacteria; Pseudomonadati; Pseudomonadota; Betaproteobacteria; Burkholderiales; Alcaligenaceae. The record is from RNAcentral.